This 253-nucleotide ribosomal RNA is filed under the name uncultured bacterium. Its description in RNAcentral is "partial 16S ribosomal RNA". It matches the Rfam family "Bacterial small subunit ribosomal RNA", at positions 524 to 776 of the family's 1533-position model. The record is from RNAcentral.
UACGAGAGGCCCAAACGUUAUUCGGAUUUACUGGGCUUAAAGAGUUCGUAGGCGGCCCGUUAAGUCGGAUGUGAAAGCCCUGGGCUCAACCCAGGAAGUGCAUACGAAACUGGCGGGCUUGAAUAUGGAAGAGGGUCGCGGAAUUCCCGGUGUAGAGGUGAAAUUCGUAGAUAUCGGGAGGAACACCCGUGGCGAAGGCGGCUCUCUGGAACGCAACUGACGCUGAGACGCGAAAGCGUGGGGAGCAAACAGG